Molecule: ribosomal RNA, 380 nt
Filed under: uncultured eukaryote
Lineage: Eukaryota
Description: partial 18S ribosomal RNA
Rfam family: Eukaryotic small subunit ribosomal RNA
Source: RNAcentral
CAAUAGCGUAUAUUAAAGUUGUUGCGGUUAAAAAGCUCGUAGUUGGAUUUCUGCUGAGAACGACCGGUCCGCCCUCUGGGUGUGUAUCUGGCUCUUUCUUGGCAUCUUCUUGGUGAACGUUGCUGCACUUGACUGUGUGGAGCGCUACCCAGGACUUUUACUUUGAGGAAAUUAGAGUGUUUCAAGCAGGCAUACGCCUUGAAUACAUUAGCAUGGAAUAAUAAGAUAGGACCUCGGUUCUAUUUUGUUGGUUUCUAGAGCUGAGGUAAUGAUUAAUAGGGAUAGUUGGGGGUAUUCAUAUUUGGCAGUCAGAGGUGAAAUUCUUAGAUUUGCUGAAGAUGAACAACUGCGAAAGCAUUUACCAAGGAUGUUUUCAUUAA